GGUCGAAAGAGGAAAUUCAUUCGCGUUUCGAUCGUCGAAGUUGGACGUUUGUAUGACGGAUGGUGUUUCGGCAUCGUCCGCGUCUUAUGUUCAUCGAAUCGAUGUCGAACGCGUGCACUUUUCCUCUAGUAGGACGUCGCGAUCCGUUGGGUGUCUGUCUAAGACCCGAGGUGGAGCCCACGCGAUAUUUUUGAUCGCGUGGACCCUCGGUGUUCCGGCAGACUCGCUCGACGGUAUAAGAAUGGCGCGGGGCCGCUACUUUAGUUAGCGUUCGGCCCGUAGCAAGCACGUUUCGCGUUUGACGGCCAUCGGACCUAGUGCCGAUUCUGUCCCGGAACGACUGUUGGUUACGGUGUUAUAUCUCGAACAGACCUCGU
Molecule: ribosomal RNA, 377 nt
Filed under: Hecataeus sp. BMNH 704468
Lineage: Eukaryota; Metazoa; Arthropoda; Insecta; Coleoptera; Chrysomelidae
Description: eukaryotic LSU rRNA
Source: RNAcentral